AACGGAGACUUUAGUUCUCUUUCCCGUCUUGCAAGAUGGCGGGUGAAAAAGUUGAGAAGCCGGUUUCUAAAGAGAAGAAACCAGUUUCUAAGGAGAAGAAACCUUCUUCUAAGGAGAAGAAACUAGUUUCUAAAGAGAAGAAAUCUGUUAAUAAAAAGAAGAAGCCUAAAGCCAAGAAGGGGAUGCCCCACUGCAGCCGAAAUCCUGUUCUGGUCAGAGGAAUAGGCAGAUAUUCCCGAUCUGCCAUGUAUUCCAGAAAGGCAAUGUAUAAGAGGAAAUACACAGCAGCUAAAUCCAAGAUUGAAAAGAAGAAGGCGGCGAAGGUCCUCGCCACUGUUACAAAACCAGUUGGUGGGGACAAGAAUGGUGGUACUCGGGUGGUUAAACUUCGCAAAAUGCCUAGAUACUAUCCCACCGAAGAUGUGCCUCGAAAGCUAUUGAGCCAUGGCAAAAAACCAUGUAGUCAGCAUGUGAGAAAACUGCGAUCCAGCAUCACACCUGGGACUGUUCUAAUUAUCCUCACCGGGCGCCACAGAGGCAAGAGAGUGGUUUUCCUAAAGCAACUGGGCAGUGGCUUGCUACUUGUGACUGGACCUCUGUCCCUCAAUCGAGUUCCUUUACGAAGGGCACACCAGAAAUUUGUCAUCGCCACCACCACAAAAAUUGACAUCAGCAAUGUUAAAAUCCCAAAGCAUCUUACUGAUGCUUAUUUCAAGAAGAAGCAGCUCCGGAAGCCCAGACACCAAGAAGGUGAGAUCUUCACCACAGAAAAAGAGAAAUAUGAGAUAACAGAACAGCGCAAGGUUGAUCAAAAAGCUGUGGACUCGCAAAUUUUACCGAAAAUCAAAGCUAUUCCUCAGCUCCAAGGCUACCUGCGAUCCGUGUUUGCUCUGACAAAUGGAGCUUACCCUCAUAAAAUGGUGUUUUAAAUUUCUUAAAAAGAACCUAAUUAAAUGGCU
This is an RNA transcript of Otolemur garnettii (small-eared galago), 959 nucleotides long. It is a transcript of the gene named 60S ribosomal protein L6 pseudogene, with no coding region annotated. Lineage: Eukaryota; Metazoa; Chordata; Mammalia; Primates; Galagidae. The transcript has a single exon. The record is from RefSeq and is a predicted model, not a curated record.